Molecule: long non-coding RNA, 673 nt
Filed under: Populus tremula
Lineage: Eukaryota; Viridiplantae; Streptophyta; Magnoliopsida; Malpighiales; Salicaceae
Description: long non-coding RNA (PTRE_LNC003358)
Source: RNAcentral
UUGGUCUGGGAUAUUAAUAGGGCCUUUUCUUGGUUAGUUUUGUCUUUCUCAUGUGUUGCAUGUAAGGUGUUCAUUGAAGGUUUUGAGAGGUGUUUGGUUAAUUUUUGUUUAAAGAUGUUUGUCAGAUUUUAUGUUUUUUUGUUUUCUAAGGAUUUAAUUGUUUUGUGGGUUGAAGGUGCGCUUCAGAAAAAACCAUUUUUAUCAAAUGAUUUUUGGGAAAAUGAUUAAUGGGACGGGGUUUGAUGAUUUUUGUAUUUGUGUUUGUACAUUUAAUUUUUAAUAGCUUUCAUAAUUGGUUUGGACAUGUUUUUGUUACCUCUAGCUUGGUGUUUUAGUUGAAGCGGAUCAUUUUUACUCUUGUUUUGGUUGUUGUGCAUUGCACUAUGAUUUUUUUUGUUGCUUGUCGGGUUUUUUCGUUGCUUAGAGUUAACAAAUUUGAUUGCUUUCUUGAUUGUGCUUGUUGUAGAUUUUGUUGUUUUUUGUACUUUGAUAUUGCCUUAUUUAUCAAAGUUGUGUCGUAAAUGUUUUUUCUAUUGGUGCUAUGGUUGGUUGAAGCCUACUCGUUUUGUUAGUUCCUGCUUUUUCUACUUUCUUUAUUCUUUUUUUAAUUUUACAGUUCCUCCUUUAUUGUGUUUAUGUUGUUAUUGUAUUAUUUUUGGCUUAUGUUUUUUUC